Ictidomys tridecemlineatus (thirteen-lined ground squirrel) is the source of this 251-nucleotide non-coding RNA. The record is from Ensembl. Lineage: Eukaryota; Metazoa; Chordata; Mammalia; Rodentia; Sciuridae.
AGUCAUAAUGCUUUAUAAGACAUUGUCAAACUGUUUUCUAAAAUGGCUAUAUCUCCCUGUGGCCAAUGUUUUCUUCCCCAGCACAUUAAGUCGUGUGUAUGGGAUAGUGGAGCACCUGAUGAUUAGGGAUUUUGUCAGUGUGUAUUUUGGAGAGUGAAAGGUUCACAACUGACUAGUAUCCAAAAGAACUUGUUUGAGGAAUGGCAGGCAAGGUGUGAUAGUGCAUGACCGUAAGUUUUCAAUCUGGGACC